GCGCAGGAAAAGAAACCAACAGGGAUUGCCUCAGUAACGGCGAGUGAAGCGGCAAAAGCUCAAAUUUGAAAUCUGGCGCCUUUGGCGUCCGAGUUGUAAUUUGUAGAGGUAGCUUUGGGUGUACAGCCAGGUUUAUGUUCCUUGGAACAGGACGUCAUGGAGGGUGAGAAUCCCGUAAAUGACUUGGCCAGUGCCUAUGUAUAGCGCCUUCGACGAGUCGAGUUGUUUGGGAAUGCAGCUCUAAGUGGGUGGUAAAUUCCAUCUAAAGCUAAAUACUGGCGAGAGACCGAUAGCGCACAAGUAGAGUGAUCGAAAGGUGAAAAGCACUCCGGAAGGAGAGUUAAACAGCACGUGAAAUUGUUGAAAGGGAAGCGCUUGAGACCAGACUCAGGCAGGGUUGAUCAACCUCCAUUCUUGGUGGUGCACUCUUCUCUGCCCGGGCCAGCAACAGUUUCGGCGGUGGUAUAAAGGUUUAGGGAAUGUGGCUCUCUUCGGGGAGUGUUAUAGCCCUAUUCGUAAUGCUGCCAGUUGAGACUGAGGACCGCGCUUCGGCUAGGUUGUUGGCGUAAUGGUCUUAAGCGACCCGUCUUGAAACACGGACCAAGGAGUCUAACAUCUAUGCGAGUGUUUGGGUGGAAAACCCUUACGCGUAAUGAAAGUGAACGGAGGUAGGAUCCCCGCAAGGGCGCACUAUCGACCGAUCCUGAUGUUCUCGGAUGGAUUUGA
Molecule: ribosomal RNA, 726 nt
Filed under: uncultured Ascobolus
Lineage: Eukaryota; Fungi; Ascomycota; Pezizomycetes; Pezizales; Ascobolaceae
Description: eukaryotic LSU rRNA
Rfam family: Eukaryotic large subunit ribosomal RNA
Source: RNAcentral